Molecule: ribosomal RNA, 500 nt
Filed under: uncultured methanogenic archaeon
Lineage: Archaea; Methanobacteriati; Methanobacteriota
Description: bacterial SSU rRNA
Rfam family: Archaeal small subunit ribosomal RNA
Source: RNAcentral
CUGGUUGAUCCUGGCAGAGGCUACUGCUAUCGAGGUUCGACUAAGCCAUGCGAGUCGAAUGUAGCAAUACAUGGCGAACUGCUCAGUAACACGUGGACAACCUGCCCUUAGGACGGGGAUAAACCCGGGAAACUGGGUAUAAUACCCGAUAGGUCUCGAUUGCUGGAAUGCAUCGAGAUUUAAAGCUCCGGCGCCUAAGGAUGGGUCUGCGGCCUAUCAGGUAGUAGUGGGUGUAGCGUACCUACUAGCCUACGACGGGUACGGGUUGUGAGAGCAAGAGCCCGGAGAUGGAUUCUGAGACACGAAUCCAGGCCCUACGGGGUGCAGCAGGCGCGAAAACUUUACAAUGCUGGCAACAGCGAUAAGGGAACCUCGAGUGCCAGGUUACAAAUCUGGCUGUCGAGAUGCCUAAAAAGCAUUUCAUAGCAAGGGCCGGGCAAGACCGGUGCCAGCCGCCGCGGUAACACCGGCGGCUCGAGUGGUAACCGUUAUUAUUGGGU